GCCUGGGUGGCUCAGUCGGCUGAGCAUUUGACUUCAGCUCAGGUGAUGGUCACGAUUCUUGGGUUCAAUACCUGCUUCGGGCC
RNAcentral lists this transfer RNA (83 nucleotides) under Felis catus (domestic cat). It matches the Rfam family "tRNA". Rfam says of the family: Transfer RNA (tRNA) molecules are approximately 80 nucleotides in length. Their secondary structure includes four short double-helical elements and three loops (D, anti-codon, and T loops). The record is from Rfam by way of RNAcentral. Lineage: Eukaryota; Metazoa; Chordata; Mammalia; Carnivora; Felidae.